UACGUAGGGGGCCAGCGUUGUCCGGAAUCAUUGGGCGUAAAGCGCGCGUAGGCGGUCAGGUAAGUCCGGUGUGAAAGUCAAAGGCUCAACCUUUGAAUGCCGCUGGAAACUGCCUGACUUGAGUCCGGUAGGGGCGAGUGGAAUUCCUGGUGUAGCGGUGAAAUGCGCAGAUAUCAGGAGGAACACCAAUAGCGAAGGCAGCUCGCUGGGACGUUACUGACACUGAGGCGCGAAAGCGUGGGGAGCGAACAGG
This 253-nucleotide ribosomal RNA is filed under the name uncultured bacterium. Its description in RNAcentral is "partial 16S ribosomal RNA". It matches the Rfam family "Bacterial small subunit ribosomal RNA", at positions 524 to 776 of the family's 1533-position model. The record is from RNAcentral.